GGUUAGUCUGGAAAGGAAGGCUGGGUGCAGCAAAUGAAGAGGGCACGCGGGUUUCUGGGUGUUGACAAGGUUCUAGCUGAGUGGCACAUCAAAAGCCGUACCUUUUGGGGUUGCACACUCUGAGGGUUGGCAAGAGAAAGGGGACAGGUCAGAAGAGAAAGGUGAAGAGGAGAGCGCCCUAAUGGAGAAGAGCUCCGUGCGGAUGGCAAAGUGUGGACCGCCGGCGCGGCGCGCGCAGCGCUUCCCGAAUACAAGAGGAGGCAAGUUAACUCCCUGGCCAUAGGAUGAGAGAGCAGUGGCUAGAGAUGGCAAGGGAGAUGUCUGCAGUGCUGUCCUUCAUCACUAUGAACAACCAGUGCUACAGAGUUCAGAUCCGAGAUACAGUCCCCAGUGUAAACAAUCAAUUCAAUCUGUCACACCACAGACAGGUCAGACCGUCGGUCCGUGCCCUGUAAGAAAGGUGGUGAAUGGCCAAGGCCUUACCCGGAACUGUGAGCACGGGUAUGAGAAGAGGUGCACUUUGCCGAAGUCAUCGCCUGUGCACAAGAGCUUUCUCUCGUGAGCCCGGCAGACGGCGUUGAUGUCUGUCCCAUCGGAGCCCUCC
Molecule: long non-coding RNA, 604 nt
Filed under: Mus musculus (house mouse)
Lineage: Eukaryota; Metazoa; Chordata; Mammalia; Rodentia; Muridae
Description: predicted gene, 16596
Source: RNAcentral